AGUUACACCACGUCAGAUGCCCGGUCAGCAACCCCGACCAACCAGGACGUGUUAGGUGGCAGAGGUGCUGACGUGGGAGGCCACACGGGGGAGCCACGUGGGAAAUCCGUGUACGCGCGAUCGAACGGCUAAGAUUUGUUCCCGCGCGUACGGACAACCCAUAUUGAAAACAUGCACAGACAGUUCAAAUUGCAUCGCGCACAGACGGUCCAGAUUGAAUCACGCACGGAUGACUCAGAUUGAAUCGCAAUGAACGGUUCAGAUUAAAAGUGAUGGACCGCCCAGAUCAAAAGCGAAUAGGUAUAAAUAACCCCAUCCACACUCAAACCCUAACCCUAACUACCAGAGCCCCUCACUGGAGAAAACAACCCAGUCGCCGGGGAGCCGACCGCCGCCACCUGCCGUCAUGCCAGAUUUUCGAAAUUGGCCGAGUAGCCCUGAGACUGAUUUUUGGGUUUAUUUGGGACAUUUAUAAGCAU
RNAcentral lists this long non-coding RNA (479 nucleotides) under Carica papaya (papaya). RNAcentral describes it as "long non-coding RNA (CPAP_LNC002937)". Lineage: Eukaryota; Viridiplantae; Streptophyta; Magnoliopsida; Brassicales; Caricaceae. The record is from RNAcentral.